AGGGCUGCACCCUCGACAUAGGGAGGUUCCCAGGUCUAAUUGGAGCUACAGCUGCCAGCCUACGCCACAGCCACAGCGACGCAGAUCCCAGCUAAUUAUUUUUUAUUAUUAUUAUUAUUAUUUUUUUUUUUGUCUUUUUGUCUUUUGUUGUUGUUGUUGUUGCUAUUUCUUGGGCCGCUCCCACGGCAUAUGGAGGUUCCCAGGCCAGGGGUUGAAUCGGAGCUGUAGCCACCGGCCUACGCCAGAGCCACAGCAACGCGGGAUCCGAGCCGCGUCUGCAACCUACAUCACAGCUCACGGCAACGCCGGAUGGUUAACCCACUGAGCAAGGGCAGGGACCGAACCCGCAACCUCAUGGUUCCUAGUCGGAUUCGUUAACCACUACGCCACGACGGGAACUCCCCCAGCUAAUUAUUUGACCUACACCACAGCUCACUGCAAUACUAGAUCCUUAACCCAGUGAAUGAGGCCAGGGAUCAAACAUACAUCCUCAUGGAAACUAUUCGGGUUCGUUAACCACUGAGCCAUGAAGGGAAGUCCUAUGAUCCCAUUUUUUGAGGAUCCCUCAACUAGUGGGUUAGAUGGACAUCAACAAAAAUAAUCACAUCACUGGAGUUCUCUUGUUGCACCAUGGGUUAAGGAUCCAGCACUGUCACUGCAAUGGCUUGGGUUGCAGUUGUUGCUGCCCUGGCCCAGGAACUUCUGCAUGCCCUAGAAUUAGCAGAACACAAGAACAUUGUGUUUUAAACCAGGUGGUUUAGCAUCACAGGAUGUUACGAUGUAGGAGGAGCACUGUAGUCAUUUGCCUUGCUCAGAUGCAUGCUUUGCCACUUGCUAACUUGGGGAAGUUCCUCAACUCCUCCAACUUCAGUUUCCCUCACAAAUAAGAGUACGUACUUUACAGAGGUAUUGGCAUGGGAUAUUGGAUGAAACAAUGUAUACAUCUUAUCACAUUGUCUAGCUCAAAGCUAAUAGUAUAUCAUGAUAUGGUUCUGGACUUUGGUUCAAAUCCUGGUUCUGCUACUUGUUGGGUGAUCGUAAUCCCUCAAUCUCCCCCUUUCUUCCUCUCUUGGAUAGGUAGGGCUGAGUGAGCUAAGCCUGGUUAGGUCAUUUGUCUAUAGUGGUAGACUUUAUUCAAUAAAACUUACUGGAUACUGUAUAUCUAGUUUCCCACAAGCUCAUUGUACUCCUUAAGACUAAGCUAUUUACAAAUACUAAUUCUCACUACAACUUCAAGUACUUUUAUAGUCCUCAUUCUAUGCAUGAGGGAACUGAGGCAGAGAAGUUAAGUGGCUUGCCCAAGGUCACAGGGACUGCUCAAGUGGUAUGUGGAUAUUAACCCAGCAGUCUCAAGCCUAGAACUGAUAGGCCUACAUGCAGAAAGAAGACUAAAGUAUACAAGCAGGUGUGUUGCAACCUUAAGAUUAGCACAGAGGGACCUAGAAUACUUGCUGACAGCUCUGCUUCAGCUGCACGAGGACAUCAGGGAAAUGGGUAUUACUUUCCACCUAGGACCCAGCCCUACUGAGAACAUGUACUAAAGACACUAGACCUUUUACUGAGCAUCUACCCUCCAAAGACUGUUUCUCAUGGAUAUCAAGAUAUGACAGGAGUUCCCAAUUCCCCUUGUGGUGCAGUAGAAAGGAAUCCAGGUAGAACCAUGAGGUUGCAUGUCCCACCCCUGGCCUCGCCAGCAGCUGUAGCUCUGGUAUGACCCCUAGCCUGGGAACUGCCAUAUGCCAAAGGUGUACACCUAAAAAGCGGGAAAGCGGCUGGGGGGGCUGGGGAAGGACCACUGAACUUGUCAUUUACCCACCACAGCAAUGCCAGAUCUCCCGUUGUUUAAAGACUUGUAGCUAUGCUUAGUCAAAACCCAACAAACCCUCCCAAGUUCUCCUAAUAAUGAUCAUAAAUGCUAGCACCUUGUCUCACCUAUUUUAGUGCUGCACCCAUAGCAUAUGGAGGUUCCCAGGCUGGGGGUCGAACUCCCUAUUCUGUGCUUUUUGGCCUUGAUUAACUACAGCACACUUAGGCAUCCCAUGUUUGACACACUAUACACCACACUACCCCCACACCAUCCCUGCUCAGAGGUUUCUAAACGAGCUGAGUCUACCUCCCACCUUUAAAUUCACUAUGUCCUUUCCAAGCUAAACUCUUACCUUCUAGAUGAUUCCCAUCCUCCAGGGUCUUAUCACUUCCCUGUAAUGCUAGCAGCCUAUCCAAGGGCUUGACAAAUUCUAUUGUGACACAAGCAUGACACAAGCACACACCUUGGACAGUUUAACUGGCUCAACAUCUGUGAUUUUAUCAUUUUAAGUCAAUCUUAGUUGAUACUGGUCUGACUGGCAGAACUCUCACCCAUGUCUAGCAGGUGACCAAGGCAUUACAGACAGGUCCCUCAAACACACUGAAUUUGUUAUCCAACCAAAAUCAUGCAAGCCCUGGAGUUCCUGUUGUGGCAGAGGAAAUGAAUACAACUAGGAACCAUGAGGUUGCAGGUUCGAUCCCUGGCCUGGCUCAGUAGGUUAAAGACCCAGCAUUACCAUGAGCUGUGGUCUCGCGAUGUAGCUCAGAUCCGACUCCUUCUAGCCUGGGAACCUCCAUAUGCUGUGAAUGCAGCCCUAAAAAGCAAAAAGGCCCUGAACUUGACUGUUUCCUUCCUAUCAGGAACCAACAUGUUUUUCCCAAAGUAGUAUUAAAUUAAAGGUAGUAACUUGGCACUUAGUGCAGAACCUCCACAGGUUACCUGAAAGCUGAGUUUAGUGGCUCAAGCAUUCUGGCCAGGAACUCCACGGGUGGUGUUUAAAAAAAAAAAAAAAAAAAAAAAGGCAGUCCAACUCAUAUAAAACUCUUAGCUGCUAACCACUCACUUGUAAAAAAGGAACAACACAAAUAUGUAUAUAGUCAUUUUUAUUAUAAUUCAUGAGCACAGUAGAAACUGUCAUGCAUCUCUUUAUUAAAAUAUAUAGGUCCUCAUACUUCCACUUGUCAGAAAACCCACUGUUGACUGGUUUUCACAUCGUAGAAAACCUGAGAGGAUCUCUAGGGCCACCCCCCACACCUGUCACAUAUAAUUCCUUCUAAUUUCAAUGGGCAUCUGGGCAACAUACUAUUCCUCUGCUGCUUUUUAAGAUAGUUCCAGGAUUAAAUAUUCUGUGUAAUCUUAACAUUUUCAAACUGCAGGUUUAUCUCCCCGAACUGCAGGGUACUCACUUUACCACAUCUCCCUGCAAGUAAGGGACCUCAAAGCAUUAAAUAUUAAUUUCAAAGUUAGGUGAGGUUCAUCUUCUCUCCUAAAUGAAAGGACAAAAAAAAAAAAGUAAUUAGAUUCACACAUAAAAUCUUAACUCAAUUUUCAAUUUUUGUAUACUAGAUGUUUCCUGCAUGGUUUGUCUCCUCAGUCAUUGUCCACAGGACUCUGAGAAGCUGUAGGAAUAUGCAGGCGCAGACUCAAGGCCCAGCUUCAUCUCCAACGUUGUGGAAAGGGACUGUACAUCAUGGGGCAGAGCCCUAUGCUCCUCUACACCACCAGGACAGAGCCCGGGGAGAGUGACCUCCCGGGGUAUCCACGUUGGAAUAUCUGAGUAAACACCAUCACCCCUGUUUUCAAGAUUUUCCCCCUCCCACACAUAGAUUUGAGAGAAGUUAAAUGAAGUCCAUUACGAUCAGUAAGUGUUGUCUACUUAAAGAGAGGUCUGGGCUCACUGAAUCAUUCCUUUGACAUGUACCUCAGCCAUUGGGGCCAGCAUCCUGAGUUUUCACAGCCUACAGGAUGACCUGGAGAUGGCUGCAUUUGCAGAUGACCAAAAUACUGCCUCAAAGAGGCAGGGGAAAGCAAUAUCAAUGUAUAUGACUAAAGGUGAGGGAGAGAUGCAUG
This 3877-nucleotide long non-coding RNA is filed under the name Sus scrofa (pig). RNAcentral describes it as "lncRNA (ENSSSCG00000041401.2)". The record is from RNAcentral. Lineage: Eukaryota; Metazoa; Chordata; Mammalia; Artiodactyla; Suidae.